UACGUAGGGUGCGAGCGUUGUCCGGAAUUAUUGGGCGUAAAGGGCUCGUAGGCGGUUUGUCGCGUCGGGAGUGAAAGUCCGGGGCUCAACUCCGGAUCUGCGGUGGGUACGGGCAGACUAGAGUGAUGUAGGGGAGACUGGAAUUCCUGGUAUAGCGGUGAAAUGCGCAGAUAUCAGGAGGAACACCGAUGGCGAAGGCAGGUCUCUGGGCAUUAACUGACGCUGAGGAGCGAAAGCAUGGGGAGCGAACAGG
This 253-nucleotide ribosomal RNA is filed under the name uncultured bacterium. Its description in RNAcentral is "partial 16S ribosomal RNA". It matches the Rfam family "Bacterial small subunit ribosomal RNA", at positions 524 to 776 of the family's 1533-position model. The record is from RNAcentral.